CUUACGGAAAGGGUAGGACCCUAUAAGCAGAGGACGGACCCUUCUGAUUGGACAGGCGGACUGUCUGUCAACAGGAAAUGAGGACUCGCUCGCUUGCUAGACCUUCAUUCCGCGCGAAAAUACGGCGAAAAAAAGAAUGUUUGUCGUCAAAAGUUGUUGGCGAACCAACCGAUUUUUUGCAGUGGUUGUGGACAGAUACUUGGAAAAAGUCUGGAGUCUUUGGCUCAACCCACCGAUGGACCAACUUCAAUUAAUCUUGGCUUGAUGACUGCUCAGAAGGGUGUUUUAAAGCCCUCACGUGGGAAAACCAUUCCCUUAUCAACCGUCUCUGACAUCACCGCUCAAAGUCUUCUUCAUCACAGUGUGAAGAAAAUGAGGGACUUUAACCAAGACCUGGGUGAAGGAGCCUUCAUCCUUCUGUAUCCAGAUGCAUCUGAAGUCAUCAAUACCCCUGGGACACAAAGACCUUUUAUUCUAGAAAAAUAUAAAGCAGAAUUAGGCAAACCAUAUUCAAGGAUCACAAUUUUUAUCUGCCCAAAGACGGUCUUUGAAGAAGUUGGAAAAGUGUCUGACAUUUCUGACUCUGACACAGAGAUUGUGAUAAAAAGAGCCCUCACAACAUUUGAGCUAGCUGACACGUUGCCAUGUGAACCUGUGCAUGAAAGCAGUGCAAUACAGACGAAUACAGAGGAUAUCCGUCCAAGUACCUCCGGAUGUCCUCGAAUGGCGAGAACAUAUUACAGCAACUACACAGACCUGUAUGCGCCUAUCGUCAGUGAUGACGACGACGAUGAAGAUGAAGUUCUAACUGUCAAAGAAAAUAAUGAGGCAUCUCCUAGAACCAAUGUGAGUCAUGAGUGCUAUAUUAUUAUAGUAUUAUCCAUCCAUUGUACGAGUAGUCAUUGGCGCUUUCCAUUGACCACAGCAAAGUCAACAGAUUCCACGUGUCCAGAUCUAAUGUAUGGGAUGGUGCUGUCAGAGGUUUUCAGCGUUGCACGUACUCCGAGGAGAAUGACAUGUUUGUGAAGUUUACCGAUGAAGAAGGCCUAGAUACCGGCGGGCCGAGGCGGGAAUUCCUCACGCUUCUGAUGAAUGAUCUGAUCUUUAACGGACCUCCAGCAAGCCGUUACCUGGUGUACAACUCUACAGGUGUCUGUUUUUCAUGGAAUUUCUUUUUUUUUGUCCAAAUAUUUUGAUGAAAGUAUUAUUUUUGUUGUACAUUAAGUCACACUUUCUGCCAAAUUUAAGCACUUUAAAAUAAGGGUUAAGGCUGGACACGACCCCUUUAGUCUUGUUAAACUUUCUGGCCAUAGUCCCAUGAUUUACCACUUGAAUGCUUUAAAAGUGACUGCAGAUUAGAUUGUGUGACAUUCACAAAUGGUAAAGCAUGUUCAGUGAAAAGCUUGUUUGUGGGUUGAGUGUUUUGACAGUGAAGUAGCUCUUACUGAUAGUCAGAGAUUUAAGGUUGAAACAUAUUAUGUCAUCAUUGACAGACUUUGUUUGUGCCCAUCGAAGCCUACACACAUGCGUGUGACUUCUUUGGAGUUUGAUUUGAGGGGGACUGCAAUGAUUGUGAUGUGCGUGAAAGCGCUGCUAAGCUGUGCUCCACUUAUCCGACAGAUCUGGAUAGUUCCUUCUCAGACAAACUUAUUCAGUUCAAGCACUUGACUUCACCUGUACAUCUUCUGCAAGCUCUUGAGAGACAUGGACUUAAGACAACAUUUCCAAAUGUUUAUGUUGCAAUAAGCAUGUUUUUAACCUUGCCUUUGUCUAACUGUGAGAGGUCGUUUUCUGUUUUGAAACGAGUUAAAAAUGAGCUGAGGACCACAAUGUCACAGACACGGCUCUCUGCACGUCGAACAUGAACUUGUUAGUGCCCUUGAUAUUGUACACCAGUUUGCAGAAAAGUCCAGAAAAUGCCACUGUAAGAUGUGUUUGCCAAAUGAAACCAAGCAUUUCAAAUUUAAACAUGCACUUUCCCAUUAUUUAGGAUUAAAAUUGUGUAUGUUGACACAUUAUGUCGCAUUUCUGUAAAUUGUUUAUUGUUGAGAAAAAACAGGCAGAUUUCAAAAUGUUUAUAUUGCACUAUAACUUGAUUGUCCUUGUCCGUGGACUUCCUCUGUGAUGGAUCCAUCAGUUCAAUACAUUUGUGUUGGGAAUAGGUGGUGUUAAAUAAAUAUGGAUG
Gasterosteus aculeatus aculeatus (three-spined stickleback) is the source of this 2185-nucleotide long non-coding RNA. NCBI's taxonomy places the organism in Eukaryota, Metazoa, Chordata, Actinopteri, Perciformes, Gasterosteidae. The record is from Ensembl.